This 442-nucleotide ribosomal RNA is filed under the name uncultured bacterium. RNAcentral describes it as "bacterial SSU rRNA". It matches the Rfam family "Bacterial small subunit ribosomal RNA", at positions 338 to 795 of the family's 1533-position model. The record is from RNAcentral.
CCUANGGGCGGCAGCAGUGGGGAAUAUUGCACAAUGGGCGCAAGCCUGAUGCAGCAACGCCGCGUGAAUGAUGAAGGCCUUCGGGUCGUAAAGUUCUGUCCAAAGGGAAGAAAACAAUGACGGUACCUUUGGAGGAAGCCCCGGCUAACUACGUGCCAGCAGCCGCGGUAAUACGUAGGGGGCAAGCGUUAUCCGGAAUCAUUGGGCGUAAAGGGAGCGUAGGCGGCUUGACAAGCCAGAGGUGAAAGGCAAUAGCUUAACUAUUGUAAGCCUUUGGAACUGUCAGACUUGAGGGCAGGAGAGGAAAGUGGAAUUCCUAGUGUAGCGGUGAAAUGCGUAGAUAUUAGGAGGAACACCAGUGGCGAAGGCGACUUUCUGGACUGUAACUGACGCUGAGGCUCGAAAGCGUGGGGAGCGAACAGGAUUAGAUACCCCGNUANUC